Long non-coding RNA from Carassius auratus (goldfish), 1899 nucleotides. NCBI's taxonomy places the organism in Eukaryota, Metazoa, Chordata, Actinopteri, Cypriniformes, Cyprinidae. The record is from Ensembl.
AUGAUCUAUUUGCCAUUGUCUUCCUCAUUGAAAGAUGUCCUUGAAAGUCUGAAAAAGAACUCCCAACAGCUAAUAAACAAAGCUGAAUGGGAAUGGGAUGACACAAUACGUGACAUUUUUGAUGGUGACGUCAUGAGAGAGCACAUUCAGAACAAAACAACUGGCCGGUGGGAUUUGACUUUACUGUGGAAUUGUGAUGGAAUUCCCGUAUUUGAAUCAUCUCAGUGUUCCCUCUGGCCAAUACAAGUAACUAUCAAUGAGCUGCCACCAGCUAUGGGAAAAGAACAUAUCCUGCUGUCAUCACUAUGGUUUGGCAAGUCAAAGCCAGUCAUUGAGACCUUUUUAAAGCCAUUUGUUGAAGAGAUGGAAGUUUUAAAAGAGACUGGACUACAGUGGAUCGAUGGUGAUGAGAUUCGCACUAGUAGAGCCUUUGCAGUUGUAAGUGCUUGUGAUGCGGUUGCAAGACCAAUGCUAAAAGACAGCACACAGUUUAAUGGCAAGUAUGGAUGUGACUGGUGUCUUCACCCUGGUGAGCGUGUAGAAAAGGGAAAUGGCUUUGUGAACACCUACCCUUAUGAUGAUUCCCCUGUAGAAAAAAGGCAACCCCAACAAUGGGAAGAGGAUGCAGUCAAGGCCUCACAAGAAGGCUCUCCUGUGAGGGGAGUAAAAGGAAUAUCCCCACUUCUGUUUCUGCCAUUUUUUAACAUCAUAACUGGUUUCGUCCCAGAGUACAUGCAUGCUGUCCUAUUAGGUGUUGUUCGUCAGUUUAUGACCCUGUGGUUUGACAGCUCAUAUCACUGCAAGCCAUGGUAUAUUGGAACAAGAAAACAAGUCAUUAGUAGUCGGUUGCUGUCACUUAAGCCCCCCAAGGAAGUCACACGUACUCCUUCUUCAUUGGACAAGAUAAGAUUUUGGAAAGCUUCGGAAUUUAAGAAUUGGCUGCUUUACUACUCCUUUGCUGUUCUUCAAGGUGUCUUGCCCUCACAGUAUCUAAACCACUGGUUGCUUUUGGUUUAUGCUAUGCAUGUGCUCCUUAUGAAUAACAUCUCACGGCAAGCUAUACAAAAGGCUGAUCUUGCUUUACAUAAAUUUGUGAUACAAGUUGCACCGUUAUAUGGCAGAGAACACAUCAGCUUUAAUGUUCAUCAGCUAACACAUUUAGCUGAUACUGUCAAGUUAUGGGGUCCAUUGUGGUGUAUAUCAGCAUUUGCAUUUGAAAGUAAUAAUCAUAAUCUCAUGAUGUAUUUUCAUGGUACCCAGUGUGUUCCUGAACAGAUCUGCCGCACAUUUCUCCUUUGGCGUUACAUCUUUAGACAAACAAUAACAGAGCAAAAUAGUCUUGUUUUCCGUUACUGCAGGAGACUUACGGGAAUGAGACAGGUAAAAAACCUGCUCAUUUUAAACAAUCUACAUCUCUUUGGCACUCCAAAAUUUCAACCACUGUCACCAAGCCAACUUGCUGCUAUUAACCGAACAUUUCACAUUAUCGUACUUCGUCCAUUACAGUUCUUCAAAAGAUUUUUACAUGAUGGCAUUUUGUACACUUCUGAUACGUACACAAAAAUGCGAAAGCGCAUUAAUUCUACAGCGAUGCUUCAGGAUGGAAGCUUUUUGCGUAUUCAGCAUUUAGUUUUGCUGAGGGGUCAUUGUGGCUGUGGAUUUAGUGAUUGUUCCUGCGCAUCAAUGCCUUUAAUUCUGGGUCGUCCUCUCAAAAAACAAACAAAAGCGCCAUUCACAGACAGACAAUUAAACUUUAGUAUUGAUUUUGUGACCGAGGUAACGGAGAGUCUCGAAACAAUUGCGGUUCCGGUUUCAUCACUAAAAAACAAAUGUGUUUUCAUCAAGAUUAGGGAAAAGCGGUAUGUGAUCCCAAUUGUAAACACAAUCGAAACAGACUAA